RNAcentral lists this unclassified non-coding RNA (380 nucleotides) under soil metagenome. RNAcentral describes it as "partial contains 5.8S ribosomal RNA, internal transcribed spacer 2, and large subunit ribosomal RNA". The stretch from base 1 to 120 matches the Rfam family "5.8S ribosomal RNA", at positions 35 to 154 of the family's 154-position model. The record is from RNAcentral.
GAUGAAGAACGUAGUGAAACGCGAUAGUUAAUGUGAAUUGCAGAAUUCAGUGAAUCAUCGAGUCUUUGAACGCACAUUGCGCCCCUCGGUAUUCCGGAGGGCAUGUCUGUUUGAGCGUCAUUUCAACUCUCGCUUUAAGCGGUAUUGAGCUUAGUUUCAUUUCGAAUUCAUUCGAAUGAAUCUAGCUUUAAAGUUGAUGUUUUUGCGGACGAAUGUCUUGAAUAAACAUAGUAAAAUCUUUUGAUUUCUCCUGUUUGUUCAUAAUAAUCGUCUUGCCAAAAUAAUUUUCUAAUUUUUCUAAUUAGAAAAUAAUUUUUCAUUUUUGACCUCAGAUCAGACAAGGAUACCCGCUGAACUUAAGCAUAUCAAUAAGCGGAGGA